UGGCAUGUAGCACAGCGGUAGUGCAGCGGACUGUUAAUCCGUCGGUCGCUGGUUCGAUCCCAGCCUUGCCAGCCA
This 75-nucleotide transfer RNA is filed under the name Marinobacter sp. Hex_13. Its description in RNAcentral is "tRNA-Asn". It matches the Rfam family "tRNA". Rfam says of the family: Transfer RNA (tRNA) molecules are approximately 80 nucleotides in length. Their secondary structure includes four short double-helical elements and three loops (D, anti-codon, and T loops). Lineage: Bacteria; Pseudomonadati; Pseudomonadota; Gammaproteobacteria; Pseudomonadales; Marinobacteraceae. The record is from RNAcentral.